CAGUAGCCACGGUAAUACGAAGGGUGCAAGCGUUACUCGGAAUUACUGGGCGUAAAGCGUGCGUAGGUGGUGGUUUAAGUCCGUUGUGAAAGCCCUGGGCUCGACCUGGGAAUUGCAGUGGAUACUGGGUCACUAGAGUGUGGUAGAGGAUAGUGGAAUUUCCGGUGUAGCAGUGAAAUGCGUAGAGAUCGGAAGGAACAUCUGUGGCGAAGGCGGCCAUCUGGGACAACACUGACGCUGAAGCACGAAAGCGUGGGGAGCAAACAGGAUUAGAUACCCCCGUAGUCCCUGUCUCUUAUAA
RNAcentral lists this ribosomal RNA (301 nucleotides) under uncultured bacterium. RNAcentral's name for it is "partial 16S ribosomal RNA". It matches the Rfam family "Bacterial small subunit ribosomal RNA", at positions 509 to 809 of the family's 1533-position model. The record is from RNAcentral.